Long non-coding RNA from Argentina anserina (silverweed cinquefoil), 1291 nucleotides. RefSeq lists it as uncharacterized. The transcript is spliced from 4 exons. Lineage: Eukaryota; Viridiplantae; Streptophyta; Magnoliopsida; Rosales; Rosaceae. The record is from RefSeq and is a predicted model, not a curated record.
CCUCAAUCCUCGACUUUAACUCGUCGCAGCCCUCAUUCCCCAUUUCAUAUCUCAGUCCUCUCCGUCUUCAGCUCUCCACAACUCCACUCCCAUUCUCUCAAUCCCUGUCUCAGAUCUUUGUCCUCUCCGUCCCCAGCUCUCCACUCAUUUUCUCAGUCCCCGUAUCCCCGAAACCGAACUGAAACCGAACUUGACGCCGCCGAGCUCUACUCCCCGAAGCCGCCGAACGCCCGAACCCAGAUUUGUCCCCAACGCUAGCACCUCGAUCUGCUACCUGACGCCGCAUCAUCUCUGUGCCACCGGACUUCGAAGUCUCUCUACUCUCGCUGCAUCACACCCUCACAGUCUCUCUACCCGACGCCAACAUCGCACCUGUGCGCCGAAGCCAAAGGUUGAAGCUUUCACUCACUCCCAAUGGCAGAAUUCUCCUCCAGCCUUGUAGGUUCCCUAAAUAAGAUCCCUCUAUCGGUUGCUGGUAUUGUACUUUUCAAGGUCCCGACCAGUUUAGAGAACUCUGCAAGCAGAUUCUUUGGUCUUGUGGCGGGAGUAUUUUUUGUUAGAGCCAAAAUGCAGGAGAGAUCUCAAUCCUGAAAUGCUUUACCUUAGUUUGGCUUACACAAGAGGACCAUGUUUUGCAAUGGGGAAACUGCAUUCUGCUUCACUUCUUGGAAAUCAUCUGGUGAAGUGACUGAUUAAAGAUCAAGGAAGAUUUUGCCUAUUUAAGUGUGAUGCGGUACGUUUCUGGGUAUCUGGUGGAUGGGAUGAAAGUUUUCUUCAAACGUCAGGAGGCUUUUGGAGAAAUAUUGUAACAUAUGGUCUCAACCCAGAAAAAUUAUUUCUCCUCAGUAGUAACCACCUGCAAAUUUAAUAUAUGUUUAACACAGAUGCCUGGUAUAUGCAUCUAACUAUCUAUUGAGAGUGAAUAUACAUUCAUCUGUUUCAUUUCUCAUAGAUUGUAUUUAUCUUGCUUGGUUUGUUUUGUUCGGUUUAUUGAGUGUAUACCGCAACUUUGGAUGAGAUGUUAUGUUUGGUUUGUUUCAUAUAUUGAUUCUAUAUCAGUAAUCAUUGAUUAAUUAAAAUGCUACUGUGACUUUUGUAAUAAACCGAUUUUUCGGGUUCAAUUUGUAUGAAUUCGUUGAAUUUUAUAAAUUUGGUAAUUUUGAUAAAUCACAUUUUUCGCUUUGCGACGUUGUCGGUUUGAAAACAGAACCGUCUUCGGAAAUCUAAAUUUGAAAAACGUUACGUUGUCCGCGACACGGGAGUCGACUUUUACUCCGUUGCUCGUUUUCAA